This is a non-coding RNA of Pelobates cultripes (western spadefoot toad), 267 nucleotides long. NCBI's taxonomy places the organism in Eukaryota, Metazoa, Chordata, Amphibia, Anura, Pelobatidae. The record is from the annotation of a GenBank genome assembly.
CCUCCUUUAACUCCUGUGGUUUCACAAAGUCCCGGAACCUCUCCUGGGUCACAAAGUUCUCCAAGGUUGAAUCCAGAAAGUCCCUGUUUUGUGCCUGGAACUUCCCUUAAAAACUCUACUUCGAGGGCAGGAGUCAAAGUUCCACAGUUGAUGUCCCAAGAUCCUCUCCCCCAGCGAGAACUGAGACACAGCACCAGAGUGCGGCAACCCCCUAGGGCCCUAGUUUAUGAUAAUAUAGGAGAGCCCAGUUAUGCCCCGCUGACACAA